AACGCGAAGGGUUGCCUCAGUAGCGGCGAGUGAGCGGCAAGAGCUCAGAUUUGAAAUCGUGCUUUGCGGCACGAGUUGUAGAUUGCAGGUUGGAGUCUGUGUGGAAGGCGGUGUCCAAGUCCCUUGGAACAGGGCGCCCAGGAGGGUGAGAGCCCCGUGGGAUGCCGGCGGAAGCAGUGAGGCCCUUCUGACGAGUCGAGUUGUUUGGGAAU
RNAcentral lists this ribosomal RNA (212 nucleotides) under Pichia kudriavzevii. Its description in RNAcentral is "partial 26S ribosomal RNA". It matches the Rfam family "Eukaryotic large subunit ribosomal RNA", at positions 67 to 281 of the family's 3401-position model. The record is from RNAcentral. Lineage: Eukaryota; Fungi; Ascomycota; Pichiomycetes; Pichiales; Pichiaceae.